This is a small nucleolar RNA of Fukomys damarensis (Damara mole-rat), 85 nucleotides long. The record is from Ensembl. NCBI's taxonomy places the organism in Eukaryota, Metazoa, Chordata, Mammalia, Rodentia, Bathyergidae.
GUGCUGUGAUGAUGCUGUACAAUUGUGGUUUCGACUCCCUGAGAGUAAAAUGAAGACCUGCAAUUCCUUGGCUGUGUCUGAGCAC